UGUUUCCUUGGGUGUGCGUUACGCUCCUUUUUUAAACCCACGUAAUUACAUUGGGAGCCUGUAGUCCAGUUACUUAGUACGGCAUGCGCGCAUUUAUGUGCGAAGGUGGAACGGUACGGCAGGGCACCCACCUGCCUGAGCGGCGGGUUGUAAUCGGGGGCGGACGGCAUCUAGGGAAUACU
This 182-nucleotide non-coding RNA is filed under the name Eubacteriales bacterium OttesenSCG-928-M02. Its description in RNAcentral is "6S RNA". It matches the Rfam family "6S / SsrS RNA". From Rfam's summary of the family: E. coli 6S RNA was the first non coding RNA to be sequenced, but its function was unknown until recently. It consists of 184 nucleotides that fold into an extended hairpin structure with a large single-stranded internal bulge. The record is from RNAcentral. Lineage: Bacteria; Bacillati; Bacillota; Clostridia; Eubacteriales.